Molecule: ribosomal RNA, 372 nt
Filed under: uncultured organism
Description: bacterial SSU rRNA
Rfam family: Bacterial small subunit ribosomal RNA
Source: RNAcentral
CAGAGACUGCGAGCGUUAUUCGGAUUCACUGGGCGUAAAGGGUGCGCAGGCGGCCGUGUGUGUGAGGCGUGAAAGCCUGGAGCUUAACUCCAGAAUUGCACCUCAAACUACACGGCUAGAGCAUUGGAGAGGGUAGCAGAAUUCAUGGUGUAGCAGUGAAAUGCGUAGAUAUCAUGAGGAAUACCAGAGGCGAAGGCGGCUACCUGGACAAUUGCUGACGCUCAGGCACGAAAGCGUGGGGAGCAAAAGGGAUUAGAUACCCCUGUAGUCCACGCCCUAAACGGUGCACACUAGGUCUUGGCGGAUUCGACCCCGCCAGGGCCCAAGCUAACGCGUUAAGUGUGCCGCCUGAGGACUACGGCCGCAAGGCUA